AUAGGAAACGAUGACUGGCUGGGCUGCUGGGGUCACCACAUGAAGUCUCCUAGUUUCCGAUCCAUUCGAGAGCAUCAGAAGCUAAACCAUUUCCCAGGCUCAUUCCAGAUUGGGAGGAAGGACCGGCUAUGGCGGAACCUGUCACGUAUGCAGAGCCGCUUUGGCAAGAAGGAGUUCAGUUUCUUCCCCCAGUCCUUUAUCCUGCCCCAGGACGCCAAGCUCCUGCGCAAAGCGUGGGAGAGCAGCAGCCGCCAAAAGUGGAUUGUGAAGCCACCAGCAUCAGCUCGAGGCAUUGGCAUCCAGGUUAUUCACAAGUGGAGUCAGCUCCCCAAGCGAAGGCCCCUCCUGGUACAGAGGUAUCUACACAAACCCUACCUCAUCAGUGGCAGCAAGUUUGACCUGCGGAUCUAUGUUUACGUCACUUCCUACGAUCCUCUGCGGAUUUACCUCUUUUCAGACGGACUGGUCCGCUUUGCCAGUUGCAAGUAUGUGACAGUGGUAUUCUCCUUCCAUGAAGAGCCUUGGCAAUAAGUUCAUGCACCUGACCAACUACAGUGUCAAUAAAAAGAAUGCCGAGUACCAGGCCAAUGCAGAUGAAAUGGCUUGCCAGGGCCACAAAUGGGCACUGAAGGCUUUGUGGAACUACCUGAGCCAGAAGGGAGUCAAUAGCGACGCCAUCUGGGAGAAGAUAAAGGAUGUUGUUGUCAAAACUAUCAUCUCGUCAGAGCCCUAUGUGACCAGCCUGCUCAAGAUGUAUGUGCGACGGCCCUAUAGCUGCCAUGAACUCUUUGGUUUUGACAUCAUGCUAGAUGAAAACCUCAAGCCCUGGGUCCUGGAAGUCAACAUUUCCCCAAGCCUCCACUCCAGCUCUCCACUGGAUAUCAGCAUCAAAGGCCAGAUGAUUCGUGACCUUCUGAAUCUGGCAGGUUUUGUCCUGCCCAAUGCAGAGGAUAUCAUUUCCAGCCCCAGCAGCUGCAGCAGCUCCACCACCAGCCUGCCCACCUCCCCUGGGGACAAAUGUCGAAUGGCUCCAGAGCAUGUCACUGCACAGAAGAUGAAGAAAGCCUAUUAUCUGACCCAGAAAAUUCCUGAUCAGGACUUCUAUGCAUCUGUGCUGGAUGUCCUGACACCAGAUGAUGUUCGGAUUCUGGUUGAGAUGGAAGAUGAGUUUUCUCGCCGUGGUCAGUUUGAACGAAUUUUUCCUUCUCAUAUCUCCUCUCGCUAUCUCCGCUUUUUUGAGCAGCCACGAUAUUUCAACAUUCUCACCACCCAAUGGGAACAGAAAUACCAUGGCAACAAGCUUAAAGGUGAUGUGCCCUCCCUGCCCUCAGAAAGCCAAGUUUAGUGAGAGAUUAAAUCCCAGUAUACCAAGAAAUGGGCGUCUCUGGAAAGAAUUGGCCAAUUGAUUCUACCUUCUUAAACCCCAACUCCUGCUAAUCUUGUCCUAGGAGUAGAUCUGCUCCGGAGUUGGUGCUACAAAGGGUUCCACAUGGGAGUUGUCUCUGAUUCUGCUCCAGUGGUGAGUGCUGCCAGUGUGGAGGACAGCUCCUUCUCAGGCCCCUCCCUCCUCUGCCUUAUGAGUGCAGCAGGAGUUGGGUUGGUAUGUAUAGGCCUCUCUCACUUCUCUGCUAGGCUCUGCUUCUGUCUCACCAUUCUUUCCUUUCAAGGGAAUAGUUGCCUCCAGGAUU
This 1688-nucleotide small RNA is filed under the name Pan troglodytes (chimpanzee). Its description in RNAcentral is "retained intron". Lineage: Eukaryota; Metazoa; Chordata; Mammalia; Primates; Hominidae. The record is from RNAcentral.